This 99-nucleotide non-coding RNA is filed under the name Betaproteobacteria bacterium. RNAcentral's name for it is "TPP sequence". It matches the Rfam family "TPP riboswitch aptamer (THI element)". Rfam says of the family: Vitamin B(1) in its active form thiamin pyrophosphate (TPP) is an essential coenzyme that is synthesised by coupling of pyrimidine and thiazole moieties in bacteria. The record is from RNAcentral. Lineage: Bacteria; Pseudomonadati; Pseudomonadota; Betaproteobacteria.
GCUGCACGCUAGGGGUCUCGCCGCUGGAUGCGGCGAGUGAGAGACACCCUCUGAACCUGUACGGGUCAUGCCGUCGUAGGGAAGCGCUCCACACCGCUC